Molecule: ribosomal RNA, 428 nt
Filed under: Lactococcus garvieae
Lineage: Bacteria; Bacillati; Bacillota; Bacilli; Lactobacillales; Streptococcaceae
Also listed under: 1 other name
Description: bacterial SSU rRNA
Rfam family: Bacterial small subunit ribosomal RNA
Source: RNAcentral
UGGGAAAUCUGCCGAGUAGCGGGGGACAACGUUUGGAAACGAACGCUAAUACCGCAUAACAAUGAGAAUCGCAUGAUUCUUAUUUAAAAGAAGCAAUUGCUUCACUACUUGAUGAUCCCGCGUUGUAUUAGCUAGUUGGUAGUGUAAAGGACUACCAAGGCGAUGAUACAUAGCCGACCUGAGAGGGUGAUCGGCCACACUGGGACUGAGACACGGCCCAGACUCCUACGGGAGGCAGCAGUAGGGAAUCUUCGGCAAUGGGGGCAACCCUGACCGAGCAACGCCGCGUGAGUGAAGAAGGUUUUCGGAUCGUAAAACUCUGUUGUUAGAGAAGAACGUUAAGUAGAGUGGAAAAUUACUUAAGUGACGGUAUCUAACCAGAAAGGGACGGCUAACUACGUGCCAGCAGCCGCGGUAAUACGUAGGUC